RNAcentral lists this ribosomal RNA (799 nucleotides) under Mucilaginibacter sp. RNAcentral describes it as "bacterial SSU rRNA". It matches the Rfam family "Bacterial small subunit ribosomal RNA", at positions 54 to 855 of the family's 1533-position model. Lineage: Bacteria; Pseudomonadati; Bacteroidota; Sphingobacteriia; Sphingobacteriales; Sphingobacteriaceae. The record is from RNAcentral.
CAUGCAAGUCGGACGGGAUUUUGGAGCUUGCUUCAAAUGAGAGUGGCGCACGGGUGCGUAACACGUAUGUAACCUACCUUUAUCAGGGGGAUAGCCUCUCGAAAGAGAGAUUAAGCCCGCAUAAAAUCACAGCACAGCAUUGUGUAAUGAUCAAAUAUUUAUAGGAUAAAGAUGGGCAUGCGGAACAUUAGCUAGAUGGCGGGGUAACGGCCCACCAUGGCCAUGAUGUUUAGGGGAUCUGAGAGGAUGGCCCCCCACACUGGUACUGAGACACGGACCAGACUCCUACGGGAGGCAGCAGUAAGGAAUAUUGGUCAAUGGGCGGAAGCCUGAACCAGCCAUGCCGCGUGCAGGAAGACGGCCCUACGGGUUGUAAACUGCUUUUGUACCGGAAUAAACCUUUGGUCGUGACCGAAGCUGAAUGUACGGUAAGAAUAAGGAUCGGCUAACUCCGUGCCAGCAGCCGCGGUAAUACGGAGGAUCCAAGCGUUAUCCGGAUUUAUUGGGUUUAAAGGGUGCGUAGGCGGCUUGUUAAGUCAGAGGUGAAAGGCGGUAGCUUAACUAUCGGAGUGCCUUUGAUACUGAUGAGCUUGAAUGCAGCUGAGGUAGGCGGAAUGUGACAAGUAGCGGUGAAAUGCAUAGAUAUGUCACAGAACACCGAUUGCGAAAGCAGCUUACUAAAGUGUGAUUGACGCUGAGCACGAAAGCGUGGGGAUCAAACAGGAUUAGAUACCCUGGUAGUCCACGCCCUAACGAUGAAUACUCGAUGUUGGCGAUAUACGGUCAGCGUCUAAGCGAA